RNAcentral lists this ribosomal RNA (253 nucleotides) under uncultured bacterium. RNAcentral describes it as "partial 16S ribosomal RNA". It matches the Rfam family "Bacterial small subunit ribosomal RNA", at positions 524 to 776 of the family's 1533-position model. The record is from RNAcentral.
GACGAACCGUGCGAACGUUGUUCGGAUUCACUGGGCUUAAAGGGCGCGUAGGCGGACUCGCCAGUCUGUGGUGAAAGCCCCCAGCUUAACUGGGGAAGUGCCGUGGAUACUGCGAGUCAGGAGGAGGGUAGGGGCAUCUGGAACGCUGGGUGGAGCGGUGAAAUGCGCAGAUAUCAGGAGGAACACCGGUGGCGAAGGCGGGUCUCUGGGCCGAUAUUGACGCUGAGGAGCGAAAGCGUGGGGAGCGAACAGG